CGAGGAAUAUUGGUCAAUGGACGAAAGUCUGAACCAGCCAUGCCGCGUGAAGGAAUAAGGCCCUAUGGGUCGUAAACUUCUUUUGUAUGUGAGCAAUAAGGUCCACGUGUGGACCGAUGAGAGUAGCAUACGAAUAAGCAUCGGCUAACUCCGUGCCAGCAGCCGCGGUAAUACGGAGGAUGCAAGCGUUAUCCGGAUUCAUUGGGUUUAAAGGGUGCGUAGGCGGCUUGGUAAGUCAGCGGUGAAAUUCCAGUGCUCAACAUUGGCCGUGCCGUUGAUACUGCUGGGCUUGAAUGCGGAUGUCGUGGGAGGAAUGUGUGGUGUAGCGGUGAAAUGCAUAGAUAUCGGGAGGAACACCAGUGGCGAAGGCGGCCUACUGGGCACCAACUGACGCUGAGGCUCGAAAGUAUGGGGUAGCAAACAGGAUUAGAUACCCUGGUAGU
This 443-nucleotide ribosomal RNA is filed under the name uncultured bacterium. RNAcentral describes it as "bacterial SSU rRNA". It matches the Rfam family "Bacterial small subunit ribosomal RNA", at positions 355 to 794 of the family's 1533-position model. The record is from RNAcentral.